This 408-nucleotide long non-coding RNA is filed under the name Equus caballus (horse). RNAcentral describes it as "lncRNA (ENSECAG00000041800.2)". The record is from RNAcentral. Lineage: Eukaryota; Metazoa; Chordata; Mammalia; Perissodactyla; Equidae.
GUGGAAAGCUUCAGAGAUAACUAAAGGGCUUAAGACUGGAAACUGAAGAACUCAGAAGCUCAGGAUCUCAGAGAGGAUGCUGACUGGUGAUGUCUGACCCUCGUUAAGUGUCUGGAUUUGGUUGUGGAUCUUGGGGAGAACAGCACCCUCUUGAAAGAGCUAGAGCCAUAUUCCUGUAGUCCUCCUAAUGCUCUCUGCCUCUCUGAUGACCACUGGUUUGAAAUGCCAAGUUAUCCACUUCUCCACGGCAAUAUUUAUAUUAUCCUACUGAUGUUAACCAGACCUGCUACUCACAAGUCCUCUCCCAAUCCCGGCCCAAUUUAAGGUUGCUUCUGGUGAAGAGAGUCACUUUGAGAAGGUCUGGAGGUAGCAUACAUUACUUCUGCUGCAUUGUCCUGACCAGAAACC